RNAcentral lists this ribosomal RNA (2901 nucleotides) under Shuttleworthella sp. MSX8B. RNAcentral's name for it is "bacterial LSU rRNA". It matches the Rfam family "Bacterial large subunit ribosomal RNA". Lineage: Bacteria; Bacillati; Bacillota; Clostridia; Lachnospirales; Lachnospiraceae. The record is from RNAcentral.
GGUCAAGCAAGAAAGAGCGCAGGGUGGAUGCCUUGGCACUAAGAGCCGAAGAAAGACGUGAUAAGCUGCGAAAAGCCGUGGGGAGCUGCACAUAAGCUGUGAUCCACGGAUCUCUGAAUGGGGAAACCCGGCCGGACAAACUCCGGUCAUCCAUAGCCCAAUCCAUAAGCUAUGGAAGGGAACCCGGCGAACUGAAACAUCUAAGUAGCCGGAGGAAGAGAAAGAAACAUCGAUUCCGUAAGUAGCGGCGAGCGAACGCGGAAGAGGCCAAACCACGGUGCGUGCACUGUGGGGUUCGGACCGCAGAAUUGAUUCAACAAAGACAGCAGAAGGACUUUGGGAAAGUCCGCCAGAGAGGGUGACAGCCCCGUAAGCGAAGUCUGAGUUGACAAGGCGGGAUCCAGAGUACAUCGAGACACGAGAAACCUUGAUGGAAGGAGCGGAGACCACUCCGUAAGCCUAAAUACUCCUUAGUGACCGAUAGCGAAUAGUACUGUGAAGGAAAGGUGAAAAGAACCCCGGGAGGGGAGUGAAAGAGAACCUGAAACCCUGUGUUUACAAGCUGUGGAAGUGCAAUGAAAAUGCGCACGACCGCGUACUUUUUGUAGAACGGUCCGGCGAGUUACGCAGUGCGGCGAGGUUAAGGGCUUAAGGCCUGCAGCCGAAGGGAAACCAAGUCUGAACAGGGCGAGUCAGUCACAUUGCGUAGACCCGAAACCGGGUGAUCUAUCCAUGUGCAGGUUGAAGUUGCCGUAAAAGGCAAUGGAGGACCGAACUCACAUCCGUUGAAAAGGGUGGAGAUGACGUGUGGAUAGGGGAGAAAUUCCAAUCGAACCCGGAGAUAGCUGGUUCUCCUCGAAAUAGCUUUAGGGCUAGCCUCGGUUUAGUCUUAUGGAGGUAGAGCACUGAAUUUCCGCGGGGGCGUCAAAGCUUACCAAAGAAUAUCAAACUCCGAAUGCCAGAAAGAUGAUGACCGGGAGUCAGACUGCACGAGAUAAGUUGGGUAGUCGAAAGGGAAAGAGCCCAGACCACCAGUUAAGGUCCCCAAAUACGUGUUAAGUGGAAAAGGAUGUGGGAUUUCGAAGACAACUAGGAUGUUGGCUCAGAAGCAGCCACACAUUCAAAGAGUGCGUAACAGCUCACUAGUCGAGAGGUCCUGCGCCGAAAAUGUCCGGGGCUAAAACACGAUACCGAAACUGUGGGAUGUAUCUAAGAUACAUCGGUAGAGGAGCAUUCCCCAGGCCGACGAAGCCGUACCGAUAAGGAACGGUGGAGGUACGGGAAGAGAGAAUGCCGGAAUGAGUAGCGAGAGCGAGGUGAGAAUCCUCGCGGCCGAAUAUCUAAGGUUUCCAGGGUAAAGCUGAUCUGCCCUGGGUAAGUCGGGGCCUAAGGAGAGGUCGAAAGACGUAUCCGAUGGACAACAGGUUGAGAUUCCUGUACCUGAUAUCAACAGAACUGUGGGGACGCAGAAGGAAAGCGCGAGCCGGGAAUGGAAAGACCGGUACAAGCGAGGUAGGAGACGCGUUGGCAAAUCCGCUCAUCAAUCCGAAGACGUGACGUGGAGCGAAAUUAUAGUAGCGAAGCGCGUGAGCCGGCUGCCGAGAAAAGCCGCUAUAGUUUGAUAUGAGCCCGUACCGCAAACCGACACAGGUAGAUGAGGAGAGAAUCCUAAGGCCGACGGAAGAAGCAUUGUUAAGGAAUUCGGCAAAAUGACCCCGUAACUUCGGGAGAAGGGGUGCCAUCCUUUCGGAUGGCCGCAGAGAAUAGGUUCAAGCAACUGUUUAGCAAAAACACAGGUCUAUGCGAAACCGCAAGGUGAAGUAUAUGGGCUGACGCCUGCCCGGUGCUGGAAGGUUAAGAGGAGAGGUUAGCUUCGGCGAAGCUUUGAAUUCAAGCCCCAGUAAACGGCGGCCGUAACUAUAACGGUCCUAAGGUAGCGAAAUUCCUUGUCGGGUAAGUUCCGACCCGCACGAAAGGCGUAAUGAUUUGAACACUGUCUCAACAAUGCAUCCGGUGAAAUUGAAGUACCAGUGAAGAUGCUGGUUACCCGCGCCAGGACGGAAAGACCCCAUGGAGCUUUACUCCAGUUUGGUACUGGGAUUCGGUGCUGCAUGUACAGGAUAGGUGGGAGACUGAGAGCCCAGGACGUCAGUCCUGGAGGAGUCGCUGUUGGGAUACCACCCUUGCAGUAUUGGAUUUCUAACCUGCGGCCGUGACCCGGUCGGGGGACAAUGCCAGGCGGGGAGUUUGACUGGGGCGGUCGCCUCCGAAAGGGUAUCGGAGGCGCUCAAAGGUUCCCUCAGGAUGGUUGGAAACCAUCCGCAGAGUGCAAAGGCAGAAGGGAGCUUGACUGCGACACCGACGGGUGGAGCAGGGUAGAAAUACGGACUUAGUGAUCCGGUGGUAUAACGUGGGAUUGCCAUCGCUCAACGGAUAAAAGCUACCCUGGGGAUAACAGGCUUAUCACUCCCAAGAGUUCACAUCGACGGAGUGGUUUGGCACCUCGAUGUCGGCUCAUCGCAUCCUGGGGCUGUAGCAGGUCCCAAGGGUUGGGCUGUUCGCCCAUUAAAGCGGUACGCGAGCUGGGUUCAGAACGUCGUGAGACAGUUCGGUCCCUAUCCGGCGCGGGCGGAGGAUAUUUGAGAGGAGCUGACCCUAGUACGAGAGGACCGGGUUGGACGGACCACUGGUGUACCGGCUGUCUACCAAAGGCACCGCCGGGUAGCCAAGUCUGGUCGGGAUAAACGCUGAAGGCAUCUAAGCGUGAAGCCCCCCUCAAGAUGAGAUAUCCCGUCUAUAAGGACAUAAGAUCCCUUGCAGAGUACAAGGUAGAUAGGGCAGAGAUGUAAGCACAGCAAUGUGUUAAGUUGACUGUCACUAAUCGAUCGAAGGCUUGACCAA